CAUGUCUCAAGAAAGCCGUUAACUCCACAUCCCUGCAUGGGCGUCUGAGGUGCAACAGGGGCAGAAAGGCAGGUGCCUGCCCGCCCAGAGCUUGCAGUCCAGGGGAGCACAUGGACAGUGAGACGUGAUUGAACCAACUACGUUGUCAAUGACUGUGGGGGAGGGGCAUUUCCCCCCAUCUGCAGAUGAAAAGCAGCCAGGCUUUGAAGGAGCCAAGCCACUUGGAGGAGGAGUCAAGCCACUUAGCCUCAGAGGGGUUAAGCCCCAAGUCCACACAGCCCAGCAGGAGCCUCCCUGGGAUGUGAACCCCGGUCUGUCUGACUCCAGCACCCAAGUUCAUCCUGACGCUCCCAUACAAAAACAGAACAAAGACUAGAACCCCGAAACCUUGUCUCCUGGCCGGGACAGUCCCCACAGUCUUCUCCCCCUUGCGUCUCAGGAGAGCAUCCCUUUACUGUCAGCUCUGGGCAGGGAGGCAGGGAGGCAGGGAGGCUGGGGUGAAGGCAGA
Long non-coding RNA from Suricata suricatta (meerkat), 508 nucleotides. RefSeq lists it as uncharacterized. The transcript is spliced from 3 exons. Lineage: Eukaryota; Metazoa; Chordata; Mammalia; Carnivora; Herpestidae. The record is from RefSeq and is a predicted model, not a curated record.